CAGUCGAGGGGCAUCGGGGAUGUUAGCUUGCUAAUAUCUGCCGGCGCCCUGCGCACGGGUGAGUAACGCGUAUGCGACCUGCCCGUUACAGGGGGAUAAUCCGGAGAAAUCCGGUCUAAUACCGCAUAAUAUCGUGAAGCUGCAUGGUUUUGCGAUUAAAGGAGCGAUCCGGUGACGGAUGGGCAUGCGUGACAUUAGCUAGUCGGCGGGGUAACGGCCCACCGAGGCGACGAUGUCUAGGGGUUCUGAGAGGAAGGUCCCCACACUGGUACUGAGACACGGACCAGACUCAUACGGGAGGCAGCAGUGAGGAAUAUUGGUCAAUGGGCUUACGCCUGAACCAGCCAAGUCGCGUGAGGGAAGACUGCCCUAUGGGUUAUAAACCUCUUUUGUCAGGGAGCAACGCCGGCUACGUGUAGCCGGACUGAGAGUACCUGAAGAAAAAGCAUCGGCUAACUCCGUGCCAGCAGCCGCGGUAAUACGGAGGAUGCGAGCGUUAUCCGGAUUUAUUGGGUUUAAAGGGUGCGUAGGCGGAAUGCCAAGUCAGCGGUAAAAUCGCGGGGCUCAACCUCGCUCCGCAUUUGAAACUGUUGAUCUUGAGUACUGGAGAGGCAGACGGAAUUCUAGUGUAGCGGUGAAAUGCGUAGAUAUUAGGAGGAACACCAGUGGCGAAGGCGGUCUGCUGGACAGCAACUGACGGUGAGGCGCGAAAGCGUGGGGAGCAAACAGGAUUAGAUACCCUGGUAGUCCACGCUGUAAACGAUGGAUACUAG
Molecule: ribosomal RNA, 773 nt
Filed under: uncultured bacterium
Lineage: Bacteria
Description: bacterial SSU rRNA
Rfam family: Bacterial small subunit ribosomal RNA
Source: RNAcentral